Molecule: long non-coding RNA, 3893 nt
Organism: Ornithorhynchus anatinus (platypus)
Lineage: Eukaryota; Metazoa; Chordata; Mammalia; Monotremata; Ornithorhynchidae
Exons: 2
Source: RefSeq, a predicted model, not a curated record
UGGUAGGGGGGUUAGGAUGUUAGUGAGGUGUUAGAGAGGGAGGAGAUGGGAGGGAAGGGGCUUUGGAUAGAAGGGUGGUGGGGGGAAGGAGGAAGGGAAGAAGGGUGGUUGGGGUUAUGAGAUGGAGAGAAAGCCUGGUGAAAGAUCUGUGGGAGGUUGGGUUAGGGAGAGGGGAAAAAAGGGUUUAGUAUGGGUGGUCUCUAUUUUUUGAGGGAAGGUAAAACUGCGUUGUAAAUCUCCGCAGCAGGACAAGUAGGAACAACAGGUCCGAGGCUCAACCUACCUGGCAGAGACCAAAAGAGACCAUGACCCCGUGAAAAGCCACUUCUCAGAUGUGGACAGAGGAAGACUCGAGGGUCCUGGCAAAGAGGGUUGAGGACCGUCCUGGGAUGAGGCUGUGAAAGCCCCAGGAGGUACUGAACACAGCUGUGGUACUGCUUCUGCAGGGUGGUAUGUAACGCUUCCUCGAUGCCUGGUCCCUGCGAGCAGGGAGGGGCUCCUGAGGCGUCGUCUGUUGUGGCCCAGAAGGCUGGGCGAGAGGCUGCGAUCCCUGACUGAAGGGUGGUCGAGGGAGAGAUUCGUGAGGCAGGACUGAGUACCUGUGUGGUAGUUGGUAAUGAACUCCUCGGGUAGCAUGUUGGGGGUGGAAAGGGUUCUGUCUGUGUGUGAAAUUCAACCAAGUUUUAUUUUUCCAGGUGGCAGUAUUUCCUCUCCUUCUGGAGUCUUUCCUCUAGGUUGGAAGGGACCAGAUGUGCUCACUCUACUCGUCCUGCUCCUCCUUCCUUUAUCUCGGGAGGUUAUCAGGCAAUGAGUUCAAUUUUUAAUUUCCUUCUGGUUGAGGCGUAAGUAAAUGGGGGAGGUGGUGUUCUCCGGUGGGUGACUAUGCUGCCCGUUGCGUACCCAUCAAAAGAGAUUUUUCUGCCCUGAAUGUCUGGGUGGGGUAGGUUCGGAAAACCGCCACCACGUGCCAAACCCCCCGGUAUCCUAGAAUAUCUCUGGCUGGAAAAGCUGUAUGUUGCCAUCAUUUAAAGAACGGGUGGAGUUCGGUUUUAAUGGGCUUUAAGUCCAGAGGUCGGUCACUAGCUGAACUCACGGGGGCCGGGGUGGUAAAACGAAGCUAUUUCUAGACUUUUUUCCAGGUGAGUUUGCCAUAGAGUAAAAAGAUAGCGUUCAUCGUGGCGAUCAGAAGGCACCAUAAGAAAUGAAGCUGUUUGGCAGUGUGUAACGUUAAAGCAGUGCAGGAGAGGAGAUUCCCAGAACCCCGUACCCGAGAGCUUGAAACCCCUGUCUCCAGAGCCCGCAUAAAUUGAUGCCUGCAGAAUUUAAGUUUCCAGAGCCGUUAUAAGGAAGUCCUCCACUUAAUGUUUCCAGAGCCUUGUCCCGGUGUCGAGGCUGCUGUCCCAAUGUUUUCAGAGGAGCUGUUUCGAUUGGGCUGCCUCUGCGUGGGCCAGAGAGAGCACGUCCGUCAGUCCCUACCUACCAUCAUUAGAUGUGCGGCUCUUUGAAAAUUUAAUCCGUCAUCCGCUCUGGCUGUUCCGAGCCUGGCUUCCACGAAUUGUGGGAGCCCCUCCCUCUUCUUGUCUACCAAGAAGCAAUGGGGGGGUGGUGGUUGCCUGUUGUUGCUGCUUCCAAAUUUGGCCUCCCUAUUUGCAUAUAUUUUUCCUCUAUUGUGCCAUGAAGCUCUGCUCCGAGAAGAUCGAGCUGUUUAGAAAAAAAACGCUAUAGCAUUGAUGCCACAGACUCUCAAUAAUGCUCUGCAGUGCUCUCGAUGGACCCAGCUUCAGUUACAAAGAUUUCCUUGUAUGCCGCUUUGCUGAGGUGAAGUUAGUGUCCCGGAAGACCGAGAGGAACUGAAGUGGGAGCUCUUCAGAAUGCUAGCCGCUGUGCUCGGGUAGAUGAUCUGUGCUUUGAUGUCUUGAAGUUUGAAUACUAAGAAAAUGUAACAUGUUUGUGCUACUCUAGGUGUGCAAACUCCCUAAGUAGUCCUGAGGAGCUUUGGGGGAAUUUCCUCCCCACCCUCUCCAAACCUCACACCCCCAGAGUCUGAUUAUGUAUGGAUACUGCAGGUUUUAAGGAGCCCUCUUUAUUCAUGCAGUGUCUUAGCCUGGACCUUGGAGUUUUCCGGGCAUGCUAACUUAGAAGCAAUAAGGAUCCAGAUUCCUUUUCUGCAUUAAUAUCUGUGGGACCCGCAGGACCAAAAGGAGAGAAGGGAGAUGAGCAAAUGGAAAAUGCGAAAUGUAAUGGAAGGAAUUGGGUGUCUUUUUUGAUGGGAAUGGGGAAAAGGAACAGUCUUUAAUUUGAAGGGAAAGUAGUGGAAGUGGUCUUGGUGGCAAAAAUCUGAAAGAGACCCCAAAGCACUAAAGGUUCCUUGGAAGAAAAAGCCGCCUCGAGAUAACUGAAUUGCUUCUGUUUUUCAGAAGGUUAUUUGGAAGUUCCUUGACUAGUUUUCAGGGAACUCCUGAACCAGUAAAGAACUUUAAUGCCGGGGGCUACAUUUGCCUUUUGACAUCAGACUUUCCAGAACAUAGAAGGCAGAGUCUUUGGCCCUAGUCUCUAAUGCUUGGCAAGAAGGUGAGCUAAGUCUUUGAACCGGACUGUUCCAUGAAGCUGACAUUUAAAUGUUUAGAAAGUUAAGAAGGAAAAUAACUUCACCCUCAGGUGUUUAAUGUACUCAUUUAGAGGGAAUUUAAGUUACUCUGUUACUGUUGAACUAGCAUCACUGUAAUUAGGAGGUAUUGAGCCUUAAUUUGUGGGGUGGUUUUAUCACGAAAAGAAACCAGUCAAAAUUUUAGUUUGCAAAUGUCAGUUUUUUAACUUUGCAAAAAAAAAUGACUGCAGUGGUAGGCAGUCCAGAGCUCAAAAACUUACCAAGAGUUUAACAAUAUUUAUUUGCAAAGAUUGUCUUUGGAGUACCUAAAAGUAACUAGGUAGAAAUGUGGUAAAUUGGUGCAUAAACAGUGUCUAUAAUUGGGAGAAUAAUUGACACUAGUAUAUUUGUCAGUCAACGUUGGUACAGCAAAAGCUAUACUGGCUGCAGCUUGCAGUUACAAAGGUUUCUGGAACUCCAGGAGUAAGAAAUAUCAAUAUUUUCUAUUCAGCAUGUUGGGCCGGAAGAGUGGGAUCACUGAGUCUGAAAAUAAGUUCUAGUUUGCAAAAGUAAGUUGGGUGCAAAAGGGAAAAUUUCCCUAACUUCUCACUCUUUUUGCUCAAGAGAAUGGCUUGUAAAUUAAGGCAAGGUCUUUAUUGAAAGAAAUCCUGCAAUAUGAGCCUUUACUAGCCCUAAACCAUGUAACUGUGGCUGUCAGUCUUCAUUUCAUUUUUGAUCACAAUUCUUACCAUUUUGAAGAAUGUGGCAGAGUCAAAUGCUUGUGUCAAGUCCUUCCUAGUAUAAAUAUCAGCAGAAGGAAUGUCUUUUAAAGUAAGUUUUAUUUAACAUGUGAAAUAUAGUGGCUUUAGCAACUCCAAUCAAAAUGAUUUGAGUAUAAUUCCCAUCUUUUACUCUCUGGUGCAAGUAAAGUAGCUACUAUUAUCAUGGGGAAAUGAAUAACUGAUUUUUUUCAUCCUUGGUUUCACAAUGAUUGCACAAGUCUUAUGUUCUCCUAACUGGUGUCUUUAAGCAGAGGUUUGGUAUGGGCAUGAUGCAAGCAAAACUAAAAUAGAAAUCCAUGUGCAUUAAUGAUUGUAUCCUUGAAAUGUCAAAUGUUUCAAACGGGAAAAUAAAGAGGUCACUUGGGAAAAUGCGGACAAUAAUGUAAAUGUCAAACUAGGGAAAUGGAAAUACGUUAUUUCACUGUAACUUGUUCAGAAGUAGCAUUAUAAUUACAUUGUAACUGAAUUACUAAUCCUUUUUUUCCUCCCUCUGCAGCAGAAAUAAAAAGUUUCCUUUAAAAGUA